This 433-nucleotide ribosomal RNA is filed under the name uncultured bacterium. RNAcentral's name for it is "partial 16S ribosomal RNA". It matches the Rfam family "Bacterial small subunit ribosomal RNA", at positions 36 to 507 of the family's 1533-position model. The record is from RNAcentral.
CCCUCCCUCUGGCGGCAUGCCUAACACAUGCAAGUCGAACGAAACAUUCGGGUCUAGUUGCGCAUGGGUGCGUAACGCGUCGGAACAUGCCCUUAGGUUUGGAAUAACUCUCCGAAAGGGGUGCUAAUACCGGAUAAUGUCUUCGGACCAAAGAUUUAUUGCCAUUGGUUGGGCCUGCGUUUGAUUAGCUAGUCGGUAGUGUAAUAGCCUACCAAGGCGACGAUCCAUAGCUGGACUAAGAGGAUGAUCAGCCACACUGAGACUGAGACCCGGCCCAGACUCCUACGGGAGGAAGCAGUAGUGAGUAUUGGACAAUGGGGGAAGGCCUGAGCCAGCUAAGCCGCGUGAGUGAUGAAGGUCUGAGGGUUGUAAAGCACUUUUACACGAGAUGAUAAUGACGGUACCUGGAGAAUAAGCUCCGGCUAACUCCGUG